This 468-nucleotide ribosomal RNA is filed under the name uncultured bacterium. Its description in RNAcentral is "partial 16S ribosomal RNA". It matches the Rfam family "Bacterial small subunit ribosomal RNA", at positions 28 to 507 of the family's 1533-position model. The record is from RNAcentral.
GACGAACGCUGGCGGCGUGCUUAACACAUGCAAGUCGAACGGAAAGGCCCUGCUUUUGUGGGGUGCUCGAGUGGCGAACGGGUGAGUAACACGUGAGUAACCUGCCCUUGACUUUGGGAUAACUUCAGGAAACUGGGGCUAAUACCGGAUAGGAGCUCCUGCUGCAUGGUGGGGGUUGGAAAGUUUCGGCGGUUGUGGAUGGACUCGCGGCUUAUCAGCUUGUUUGUGGGGUAGUGGCUUACCAAGGCUUUGACGGGUAGCCGGCCUGAGAGGGUGACCGGCCACAUUGGGACUGAGAUACGGCCCAGACUCCUACGGGAGGCAGCAGUGGGGAAUAUUGCACAAUGGGCGGAAGCCUGAUGCAGCAACGCCGCGUGCGGGAUGACGGCCUUCGGGUUGUAAACCGCUUUCGCCUGUGACGAAGCGUGAGUGACGGUAAUGGGUAAAGAAGCACCGGCUAACUACGUG